AUAUGAGUGAUGCUGAGGAAGGCAAGAAGAUUUUUGUUUAGAAGUGUCCCCAGUGUCACACCAUGGAAAAGAGGGGCAAGCACAAGACUGGGCCAUAUCUCCAUGAUUUCUGGGCAGAAGACAGGUCAGGCUGCUGCGUUCUCUUAUACAGAUGCCAGCAAAAACAAAGACAUCAGCUGGGGAGAGGAGACACUGAUGUAGUAUUUGGAGAAUCCAAAGAAGUACAUCUCUGGAACAAAAAUGAUCUUCUCUGGCAUUUAGAAAAAGACAGAAAGAGUAGACUUGAUAGCUUAUCUCAAAAAAGUU
This 306-nucleotide long non-coding RNA is filed under the name Homo sapiens (human). RNAcentral describes it as "non-protein coding lnc-GOLIM4-1:1". The record is from RNAcentral. Lineage: Eukaryota; Metazoa; Chordata; Mammalia; Primates; Hominidae.